RNAcentral lists this non-coding RNA (92 nucleotides) under Tritonibacter multivorans. RNAcentral describes it as "Tropicibacter multivorans TPP sequence". It matches the Rfam family "TPP riboswitch aptamer (THI element)". From Rfam's summary of the family: Vitamin B(1) in its active form thiamin pyrophosphate (TPP) is an essential coenzyme that is synthesised by coupling of pyrimidine and thiazole moieties in bacteria. The previously detected thiamin-regulatory element, thi box was extended, resulting in a new, highly conserved RNA secondary structure, the THI element, which is widely distributed in eubacteria and also occurs in some archaea. Analysis of operon structures identified a large number of new candidate thiamin-regulated genes, mostly transporters, in various prokaryotic organisms. The record is from Rfam by way of RNAcentral. Lineage: Bacteria; Pseudomonadati; Pseudomonadota; Alphaproteobacteria; Rhodobacterales; Paracoccaceae.
GGUCAGAACCGGGGGCGCCCAGAUGGGCUGAGACGUACCCUUUGAACCUGAACCAGAUAAUGCUGGCGGAGGGAAGGUAUCAGCGCAAGGUC